This 52-nucleotide microRNA precursor is filed under the name Ictidomys tridecemlineatus (thirteen-lined ground squirrel). RNAcentral describes it as "miRNA (ENSSTOG00000032847.1)". The record is from RNAcentral. Lineage: Eukaryota; Metazoa; Chordata; Mammalia; Rodentia; Sciuridae.
GGCCAGAGGGGCAGGGUGGAGCAGGCAGGAGAGCUGUUGGCUUUACUCUGGG